AGCGCCGCCGCGCCCGCGGGAGGAGGAGGAGGCUGGCAGCCGGUGACUGCGUGGGUUCCAUGGAGCAGAAAUGGAGCCCUCUAGCACACAGACUAAAGGCUUUACGCUGCAGGAGAGGAAUCCUAAAAACGUGACCUUGGGACUAUAGCAUGUCGUGGUGUCAACAUUAGGUCACUGUGUUGCUCAAACUGUGUUUCCAGUGACAAUCUAAUUAAAGCUAACAUAGUUAAUAAUAUUAACAUGUGAGUGCUUCCUCUCCACAACUCAAAAAAGCCUCAUCAGCUCGCUCUCCAACACAGAAAUGGAACUUUGCCAACUGUUGCUGCAGGCAGGAUUUGCCCUCCACAGGACCUGAAAAGGCACUUCCUGGUCUCUGCUCCGCUGAGCCUCACAGGGCACUGAGCAUGCAGGGCACUGAGGAUUCUUGCCACCCAGCCAGCAGGACAUGGUAAAAGCAGCUGUUUUUACAUGAUUUCACAUGAAUGACAUGACUAAUCCAGUACCAUAUCCAAUUGCUUAAAAUGCCUUGUCUUGAACAACCCAGAGAAAAGACAAGAUAAUGGGCCUUGGAGGGCCCUGGGGUGAUGGUGACACCAUCUCUUUCAUACAUAAUUUGAUUCAAAAUAUUUACAUAAAACCAGACUGGAGGAAGCCGGAGACAGCCAUUUGGAGCACGUUCUUUGGGCUGCGGACUCUGGAGUCUAUCAUGCUCGGCCACUCCGGUGCGGAUGAAGCCGCUGGGGCCGAAGGGAUGUCACUCCCUGGAUAAGCUGCUCGGGUUUCACGUUCCGCCACCACCGAUUCGUGUCCGGCCGUGGUGGUUUUCCGCGCAGGAACUGGACCCCUGGCUGGUAGACCCAAUUUUUGGCCAAGACGGAACCGUACUCUCGGAAAUGGAGUGGAUGAGCCAGGCUUUGCUGAGGGUGGACCCAACCGACACCGGGGAACUAGUCGAAAUCACCGUGUUUGGGCAGCCCGGCGUGAAGACUCGGGUAAAGAACAUUCUCCAGAGCCUGGCAGUGUGGUUCCGAGAACUUUGUGACCAACGAGCUAAGAAGAUAAAACGCCUUGAGGAGUUCUUGAAGGCUAGUUCACCAUAUCCAGAAACUAUCCAGCAUCCAGUUUAAUACAAACAAGAUGGCAAUAAUUAGACCAAUGAGGACAGCCUGCUGAAGAGAUGGAAGACAAGUAUUCUUAAAUCUCUACAUUACUUUUUCCUGUGCCUUUUGAAUAGUGGUUUAUUUUGUGGUAAAUGUAUUUGUAGAACUAUUCUAAUGAAAUUUGUCUGGAAUAGUCUUUUCACGUGAAAUAAAGCAAAU
Marmota flaviventris (yellow-bellied marmot) is the source of this 1319-nucleotide long non-coding RNA. RefSeq lists it as uncharacterized. NCBI's taxonomy places the organism in Eukaryota, Metazoa, Chordata, Mammalia, Rodentia, Sciuridae. The record is from RefSeq and is a predicted model, not a curated record.